CAUUUCAGUACUUUUUAUUUAUUUAUUUAUUUCAAAUUCGGUGCAUUUUCGCAUAUUUUGAUGCAUUUCGGUUCUUGAUCUUGAUGAUAAUUGUAACAAGUGACAUCUGUCAUCAUUCUUUUUCUCAUGGUACAUAGUUGUCAAUGGUCAAAGCUAAGGUGCCUCUGAGUCUUCAACAGUGGAAGCCUCUAGACUCCAGCAUAGCCUUUGCCUAAUUGCCAGUUUACACCUGGCUCAUUGUUAUUUGAUAAGAUUAUUAAUGCACUGUUUAUCCUUGCUAUCUCUUACGUGGUAUUAUUAUCUUGCCAGUGCACCAUGGAACUUUCGCUCACGAAGAAAGAUCAACAAAACAGUGAUGACCAAAACAGCCAUGGUCAAUAUAGCGGUGACCAAAACAAUGACGACCCAAGCACCGUUGCCCGCAGCAAAGAUGAGGAAGUCCUAGUGGAUGCUGCCACCCAGGCACUCAAAACUGGAUCAGCAGACCAUUGUGUUAUGGGUGUCCAGCUUAUAUCUCAACUGAUUGCUGAAAUUAACGAAGUCUCAAAACCUUUUGCAAAGAAAUUCCUCAAUAAAAGGAGUAAGACUAUACAGCCAUUCAGAGACAUUCGCCUCUUCAGUAUCUUCCAGCUGUCCUGCACACUUCUCAGAACAGCCCUUGGGAAUGUGCAGACACUCAGUUUCGCUGAUGAGAGAGUGCAUGCAUUGAUGACUCGUGUGCUUCAGUUGGCACAGAGAUGUCUUAUAUUUAACUCACGAGAGACAGCUUCAGAUGAAAGUGGUGAUGAGAUGGUCAUAGUAAAGAUCCCCACCUCCUGGAGGCCUGCCUUCUUAGACAUGUCAACUGUUCAGCUGUUCUUUGACUUGUAUGCACAUCUCCCUGCUACACUGUCCUCUAUGACUUUAACAUGCUUGGUGCAGCUUGCCUCUGUGAGGCGAGAUAUUUUCAGUAUUAAUGAGGAACGGGUCAGGUUUCUCUCUCAGCUCACCAAUGGAGUUAGGAAUAUGCUAAAGAAUCCACAGGACCUGAGUCACCCCUCAAACUACCACCAAUUCUGCCGACUGGUGUUGCGGCUGAAAAGGAACUACCAGAUUGAUGAGCUGGUGUCAGUGGAGGACUACUCUGAUGCCAUCCAGCUAAUUGCCCAGUUCACUAAGGACUUUGCUCACAAGUGGCAGUCUGCAUCCAAGAGCAUCUGCUGUCUACUGUCCUUCUGGCAUAACAUGGUGUACUGCUCCCACUUCAUGCUGAGCAAAAGGCCCCACCUGCUAGAGAUCUACACCCAUGAAAUAGUAAAGGUUUAUAUAUCAUUUUAUCUAGAGAGUGCAAGUGUAGUGCAGCAUGAAGGUUUGGAAGAUCCUCUAGAUGAUGUCUCUGUUAUUCAACCACAACUACAAAUGCUUUUAUCCAUUGGACGAUAUGAAUAUAGCAGGACAUAUGAGCUGCUUGUACAAGUGUUUGGACAGACUGCACAGCACUACCAGCAAGUGAUAACAGCACACUUGAACCAUGAGUUUCAGCAACACUCCAUGGAAGACAUUGCAGUAUUAGAAGGUCAGUUAACGUGGCUUGUGUACAUGAUUAUCUCUGCGAUUGACAGGCGAUCACUUUCUGCCAGCAGUGAUGAUGCUGAUGCCAUGGAUGGAGACCUGGUUUGCAGGGUGUUGCAGCUUAUGAACUUCACAGACCCAUGUCUACCUGGAAGAGGCUGUAAGAAGUGGGAGUUGGCCUUAAUAGCCCUUUUUCAAAAACUUCUGAGAACAUAUGUUAGUGGUCAAAUUCAUGAAACUUCAGGAUUCUAUGGAUGCCUUUCACAGACCUUAGGAAUUAAUGAUGAAUCAAAGAUAUUAGCAGUGUUUAUGCAAAAAAUCAUUGUGAACUUGAAGCACUGGAGUCACUGUGAGCAACUCCUACACAAGACCCUAAGACUUAUGUUGGACAUCACUGUGGGACAUGAACAGGCAAUGAAGCUUGCCAGACUUGAUGCUGUGCAAGUUAUGCUAAACAACCACACAAGUGAACAGUUUCCUUUCUUGGCCAUUGGCGAGCCUGUGCAAGUGAUGAGACACCGAACGUCCUUCUAUACCUGUCUUGGACGGCUUCUCAUACUGGAUCUUGGAGAAGAUGAAGAGAAGUUCAUACAGUUCAUGAUCCCAAUUACAAGUGCACUAGACAAUGUGAAGCAACUGCUGGCACAGGCCGACACUCCUGUGUUUCGGGCUGAAGAGGCCAAGAAGGAGCUCAUUGGGCUUGCUAGGGAUCUGCGGGGACUGGCCCAUGGACUUGAUUCUCCCAUCUCCUGUAUGAUGUUCUUUUACUGGAUUUAUCCCACCUGCACAGCAAUCAUGAUCCAAAGCAUGGAGAUCUGGCACCAUGAUCCUCAAGUCACCACACCAGUGCUGAAGCUCUUUGCUGAAAUAAUCCAUAGAUCUUCAAAGCUGCAGUUUCAUGCAUCCUCAUCUAAUGGAAUCUUGCUGUUUCAGGAAGCCAGUAAAAUCCUCAGUACUUAUGGUUCUGGUGUUCUGGCCCAGAGUGAUAGCAUUCCAAAGGACCAAAUCUAUCCUAUGAGGUUGAAAGGCAUCAGCAUCUGCUUCUCCAUGCUCAAAUUGGCAUUGUAUCAAGACAUAUGGUCUGGUGGGAGGCUGCGUCAAUUUGGAGGUGACAUGUUAGCCACAGCCUUUUGCACCUUUGCUAAUUUGCUGCCUUGCAUACCACUGUCAGAUCUCCAGGUACAUCGUUAUCUGUCUCUUGACUACCACUCUGUCUUGGUAAUUAUGACAAGAGAUCACCUGAACUUCAUCGUUACCCUUGAGCCAAAUGUGCUGCUUUAUAUUUUAUCUUCUUCAUCUGAAGGACUCUCUGACACAGAAACAUGCAGUUCAUGUUGUCUCAUUCUGGACCAUCUCUUCAGUUAUCUUUACAAGUGUCUGCAUCAUGAAAUAUUUUGGGCAGCUGAGGAAACCAAUCAUCAGCCGAUACACACCAGAAAGGCAGGCAGCGGUGGCACGGUGGCUUGAUGGCCUCAUGGAAGGCAUUGAGCCCAACCUCCUUAGUUCCAACAGAUGCAAAUUUAUGCAAAAUCUGUGCAACACUAAUUAGCUUACAGUGACCUGUAGCAAGAAAUGGUGGUGGGCCAGGGACUGGUCAUAUCUUGAAGUCACCACUAUCUGCAGCCCUGCCAAGAUACAUACCCCAAUCACUGUCAAUGCUACUCCCUGUCUGCACACAUACACACAUAUUCAUACAUUAUUCUGUUACCAAAGCUGUUAAAGAGGAUGGCCAUGAUGUGAUUUCCUUGGGCAGCACCUGAUCACCUCACAAGGGAUAGCUGAAAAAAUUAUUUGGACUGUUGUUGCUACAGAAAGACAAUGGUGCUUAACAGUGCCUUGUUUUGAAUAUUUGAUAAAAUUAAAUUUGAAAGCUAAGCAUAAAAUUUCAAUUUAUGCAUCAGACGUCCUCAAACUGUAGAGAAUCCAUUCAUGAAUUACUUUUUAUUAUAUAUUUACUUGUUAUUUUAACUAAUGAGUAUUCAAGAACUGCAAACAUGCCACCUAAUAUAUUGAAUGUGCUAUGUAUCUAUUUAUUCAAAACUAAUCUUUGGUGUUAUGUAAUGAAAAUAGCCUUGUAUUGAUGGAUACUUUAGGAAAUAGUAUGUUUGCAGGAUUUUUCCAUGCUAUAGGUCAAAGCUCAUAUGAUUAAUGACAUAAAAAAGCAGACCAGUUUUUUUUUUUUUUCUUUCUUUUUUAUGUUAUGGCCUAUAGUGCCUGUAGAUCUAUUUGAAGAGUAUGGGAAGUACUGUCCAGCUUCCACCCAUU
Molecule: unclassified non-coding RNA, 3816 nt
Filed under: Portunus trituberculatus (swimming crab)
Lineage: Eukaryota; Metazoa; Arthropoda; Malacostraca; Decapoda; Portunidae
Description: exportin-7-like, transcript variant X3
Source: RNAcentral